Molecule: ribosomal RNA, 440 nt
Filed under: uncultured bacterium
Lineage: Bacteria
Description: partial 16S ribosomal RNA
Rfam family: Bacterial small subunit ribosomal RNA
Source: RNAcentral
CCUACGGGAGGCAGCAGUGGGGGAUAUUGCACAAUGGGGGGAACCCUGAUGCAGCGACGCCGCGUGGGUGAAGAAGCGCCUCGGCGCGUAAAGCCCUGUCAGCAGGGAAGAAAAUGACGGUACCUGAAGAAGAAGCCCCGGCUAACUACGUGCCAGCAGCCGCGGUAAUACGUAGGGGGCAAGCGUUAUCCGGAUUUACUGGGUGUAAAGGGGGCGCAGACGGCGAUGCAAGCCAGGAGUGAAAGCCCGGGGGCCAACCCCGGGACUGCACUUGGAACUGCAUGGCUGGAGUGCAGGAGGGGCAGGCGGAAGUCCUGGUGUAGCGGUGAAAUGCGUAGAUAUCAGGAGGAACACCGGUGGCGAAGGCGGCCUGCUGGACUGCAACUGACGUUGAGGCCCGAAAGCGUGGGGAGCAAACAGGAUUAGAUACCCCGGUAGUC